CACUCCUACGGGAGGCAGCAGUGAGGAAUAUUGGACAAUGGGUGGAAGCCUGAUCCAGCCAUCCCGCGUGCAGGAAGACGGCCCUAUGGGUUGUAAACUGCUUUUAUCUGGGGAUAAACCUACUUACGUGUAAGUAGCUGAAGGUACCAGAAGAAUAAGCACCGGCUAACUCCGUGCCAGCAGCCGCGGUAAUACGGAGGGUGCAAGCGUUAUCCGGAUUUAUUGGGUUUAAAGGGUCCGUAGGCGGACUGAUAAGUCAGUGGUGAAAUCCGACAGCUUAACUGUCGAACUGCCAUUGAUACUGUUAGUCUUGAGUAAGGUUGAAGUGGCUGGAAUAAGUAGUGUAGCGGUGAAAUGCAUAGAUAUUACUUAGAACACCAAUUGCGAAGGCAGGUCACUAAGUCUUAACUGACGCUGAUGGACGAAAGCGUGGGGAGCGAACAGGAUUAGAAACCCUAGUAGUCCCAUG
RNAcentral lists this ribosomal RNA (469 nucleotides) under uncultured organism. Its description in RNAcentral is "partial 16S ribosomal RNA". It matches the Rfam family "Bacterial small subunit ribosomal RNA", at positions 334 to 799 of the family's 1533-position model. The record is from RNAcentral.